RNAcentral lists this transfer RNA (86 nucleotides) under Capronia epimyces CBS 606.96. It matches the Rfam family "tRNA". Rfam says of the family: Transfer RNA (tRNA) molecules are approximately 80 nucleotides in length. Their secondary structure includes four short double-helical elements and three loops (D, anti-codon, and T loops). Further hydrogen bonds mediate the characteristic L-shaped molecular structure. tRNAs have two regions of fundamental functional importance: the anti-codon, which is responsible for specific mRNA codon recognition, and the 3' end, to which the tRNAs corresponding amino acid is attached (by aminoacyl-tRNA synthetases). tRNAs cope with the degeneracy of the genetic code in two manners: having more than one tRNA (with a specific anti-codon) for a particular amino acid; and 'wobble' base-pairing, i.e. permitting non-standard base-pairing at the 3rd anti-codon position. Lineage: Eukaryota; Fungi; Ascomycota; Eurotiomycetes; Chaetothyriales; Herpotrichiellaceae. The record is from Rfam by way of RNAcentral.
GGGGUUGUAGCUCAGCGGUAGAGCGUAUGCUUUGCAUCCGACUGCAAGCAUGCAUAAGGCCCUGGGUUCGAGACCCAGCAACUCCA